ACUCCUACGGGAGGCAGCAGUGGGGAAUCUUGCGCAAUGGGGGAAACCCUGACGCAGCAACGCCGCGUGGGUGAUGAAGGCCUUCGGGUCGUAAAGCCCUGUCAGGUGGGAAGAAACUUGUGGAUGUUAAUACCGUCCACACUUGACGGUACCAUCGGAGGAAGCACCGGCUAACUCCGUGCCAGCAGCCGCGGUAAUACGGAGGGUGCAAGCGUUGUUCGGAAUUAUUGGGCGUAAAGCGCGUGUAGGUGGUCAGGUAAGUCAGAUGUGAAAGCCUUCUGCUUAACAGAAGAAGUGCAUUUGAAACUGCUUGGCUAGAGUACGGGAGAGGAGAGUGGAAUUCCCGGUGUAGAGGUGAAAUUCGUAGAUAUCGGGAGGAACACCAGUGGCGAAGGCGGCUCUCUGGUCCGAUACUGACGCUGAGACGCGAAAGCGUGGGGAGCAAACAGGAUUAGAUACCCUGGUAGUCCACGCCGUAAACGAUGGGCACUAGGUGUAGGAGGUAUUGACCCCUUCUGUGCCGAAGCUAACGCAUUAAGUGCCCCGCCUGGGG
This 553-nucleotide ribosomal RNA is filed under the name uncultured bacterium. Its description in RNAcentral is "bacterial SSU rRNA". It matches the Rfam family "Bacterial small subunit ribosomal RNA", at positions 335 to 878 of the family's 1533-position model. The record is from RNAcentral.